AACCUACACUAAUCCCAAUUUUCAUUCUGCCCGUACGCCCAUCAACCUCUCAGUUACACUAAACCUACACUAAUCCCAAUUUUCAUUCUCCCCGUACUCCCAUCAACCACUCAGUUACACUAAAUCUACACUAAUCCCAAUUUUCAUUCUCCCCGUACGCCCAUCAACCUCUCAGUUACACUAAACCUACACUAAUCCCAAUUUUCAUUCUCCCCGUACUCCCAUCAACCACUCAGUUACACUAAACCUACACUAAUCCCAAUUUUCAUUCUCCCCGUACGCCCAUCAACCACUCAGUUACACUAAACCUACACUAAUCCCAAUUUUCAUUCUCCCCGUACUCCCAUCAACCACUCAGUUACACUAAACCUACACUAAUCCCAAUUUUCAUUCUCCCCGUACUCCCAUCAACCACUCAGUUACACUAAACCUACACUAAUCCCAAUUUUCAUUCUCCCUGUACUCCCAUCAACUACUCAGUUACACUAAACCUACACUAAUCCCAAUUUUCAUUCUCCCCGUACUCCCAUCAACCACUCAGUUACACUAAACCUACACUAAUCCCAAUUUUCAUUCUGCCCGUACUCCCAUCAACCACUCAGUUACACUAAACCUACAUUAAUCCCAAUUUUCAUUCUCCCCGUACGCCCAUCAACCUCUCAGUUACACUAAACCUACACUAAUCCCAAUUUUCAUUCUGCCCGUACGCCCAUCAACCUCUCAGUUACACUAAACCUACACUAAUCCCAAUUUUCAUUCUGCCCGUACUCCCAUCAACUACUCAUUUACACUAAACCUACACUAAUCCCAAUUUUCAUUCUCCCUGUACGCCCAUCAACCUCUCAGUUACGCUAAACCUACACUAAUCUCAAUUUUCAUUCUGCCCGUACUCCCAUCAACCACUCAGUUAAAACUAAACCUACACUAAUCCCAAUUUUCAUUCUGCCCGUACUCCCAUCAACUCUCCUCAGAUUCUGCCCUCAUCUGUAAUGUACACUGGCCAACGAAUCUACCAAUCUGCACAUUCUUGGCAUGUUGGAGGAAAACCUGAUGGUUGGUGGGACAGGUAUUGUUGAGGAAGUAGAGAGUCUUCAGAAAGAUUUGGAUACGCUCGGCAGAGGAUGGAGCUCAGAGAAGCUGUGUCGGAGGGGAUGGUCGUCGGCUCGGAGGUUCGACGGACUCAGGUCGCUUUCAGUGUGUGCUGCGUCUGCGAGGCUGGUUUCGACGGAGCUUCCAUUGUGUGCUGAAUCGGGCAGCGCCUUGGAAGUCCAUAGCGGGGGUAUUCCCUUCUGCCACCGGCGUGGGAUGGCAAGUCUGUCGGGACCCUGGGGACUCGUGGAAACUGUGUGGUGAUUUCUUUUGAACUUACAGUCCUUUAACAUCUUGGGACUAUUUUUACUGUGCCCAUAGUCUGAUUUUUUAAUCGAAUAUGCUAUUGUUUGCACUGUUGUAACUAUAUGUUGUAAUUAUGUGGUUUUGUGCAGGUCUUGUAGUUUUAGUUUUUGGUCCUGUUUUUGUCUAGUAGAUUUGGAGCUCCUUUCCAGGGAACGCGCUAGCACGAUAUUAAUAUGCAGCAGCCUCUCUGGACUCUGGACUGGGGAUUGCCAAACAUUACAUGGAUUUUCUCGUGUAUUAAUAUGCUUUUGUCAUAUGCUUUUGUGAUAUCAUUCUGGAGGAACGUUGUCUCAUUUUUUAACUGCAUUGCAUUUGUAGUUUCUAAAUGACAAUAAACUGAAUCUGAAUCUGAUAGGUUGGCAGAAUCGGCAAAGAAUUGCCAAAUGGAAUACAAAGUAGGCACACGUAUGCAUUUCUGUAGAAGGGAUAAAGGCAUAAUCUGCUUUCUAAUCGGGGAGAAAAUUCAGAAAUCAGAGAUGCAAAAGGACUUAGGAGUCCUAGUGCAGGAUUCCAUAAGGGCUAACUUGUAAGACGGAUCAGUAUUAAUAAAGGCAAAUGCAAUGUUAGUAUUCAUUACAAGAGGACUAGAAUAUGGAAGCAAGAAUGUAAUGCGGAGGCUUUGGUCAGACUGCACUUGGAGUACUGUGAGCAGUUUUGUGCUCCUUAUGUGCUGGCAUUGGAGAGGGUCCAGAGGAAGUUUCCAUGAAUGAUCCUGGGAAUGAAAGGGUUCAUGUAUGAGGAGUGACUAAUGACUCUGGAGUUUAUAAGAACGAGAGGGAAUCGCAUUGAAAUACAUCAAAUAUUGAAAGGUUUGGAUAGAGUGGACGUGGAGAGGAUGUUUCCAAUGGUGGGAGAGUCGAGGAACAGUGGGCAUAGCCUCAGAAUACAAACAUGUCCCUUGAGAGCAGAGAUGAGGAGGAAUUUCAUUAGGCAGAGGAGGGUGGUGAAUCUGUGGAAUUCAUUGCCACAGAUGUUAAUAACAAACACAAGAUUUCCUUGUAUUUAGUUGCAGCUGAACCAGAAGCCAAUUUUUUUUAACACAAAAUAUGAGUAACCGCUUGGUGAGCACGUCUGUUUCUGCCCAUGACUGAUGGAGAGUGGGAGAUUAAACCUGGCUGAAGAGGGGAUCUGCUUCACUGAAACCAACAGUGUAAUGUGAAAAUACCCUGCGUUCAAAUUCUGCGAUGGUCCUGAAUGAAGUACAAUUGAACAAGAAUUCAAACCAUGGAUAUUAUCUACAUCAGAGGUUCCCAAACUGGGCCCCCAGCGCCCCCCUCUCCCUUUCCGGCCAUUACAUAAAAACUAUAAAGAAUUUGGAUUUAGUGAAAGAAAGAAGGAACUGCAAAUUCAAAGCAGUGAAAAAUGAUUGAGAAAAAGAUUAUUCAAAUCUAUUUAAAGCAACAAAUAAAGUUGCUAACAUGAGAAAGUCAGCAGAUGCCGGAAUCAAAGUAGUGCACAGAAAAUGGUGGAGGAACUCAGCAGCUGAUGUACGGUGCAGAAUCAAUGUCUGACCUUCACUGGAGAUUAGACUUAAACUUAUGAAAUAAGAAGAAACAAAAGGAGGUGCAGCGCAAUGUAACAACAAGAAAUUGUUUGAUUGUAUUGCCUUUUGUGUUUGCACAUGGACACUUCUGUGGAAGCGAUAUAGACUCUACAGGAUGCAGUCGCUUAAGUUCUCCUGGUGUUAUGGGAGAGACGAGGAGAGAAGACACGAAUGGAGAGAGUUGGUAGACCAACGGAUGGGAUGGACUUGGAACGAGGGUCCGAAGGGCAGCGACGAUUGGAGGAGGUCGAUGUUGGACAAUCGGCUUAUCAGUGAGCUCCAACAUUGUGCAAAAGACUGUUUCAUAAGAGAUUGGGCCCUUUUUCUUUUUUUUUCGAUUUCUUUACUAAUCAUAUGGUCAAAGUACAAAUUAUA
Long non-coding RNA from Hypanus sabinus (Atlantic stingray), 3313 nucleotides. RefSeq lists it as uncharacterized. The transcript is spliced from 3 exons. Lineage: Eukaryota; Metazoa; Chordata; Chondrichthyes; Myliobatiformes; Dasyatidae. The record is from RefSeq and is a predicted model, not a curated record.